RNAcentral lists this long non-coding RNA (378 nucleotides) under Gallus gallus (chicken). RNAcentral describes it as "lncRNA (ENSGALG00010000099.1)". The record is from RNAcentral. Lineage: Eukaryota; Metazoa; Chordata; Aves; Galliformes; Phasianidae.
CAGCACAGCAGUCAGGGCAGAAGCAGCCUGAUGGGAUCCAGAGGCUUCCCGCGAGCGGGAUCAGCCCUGAGACAGGACAGCGCCCAGCACAAGUGAUCCUGCGGGAUUUGCAGGAAGCCCAUGGCAUGCCCAGUAGAGACACGUGGGGUGAGUUUCCUGCUUUCUGUGGAGGGGAAGAGUGGGAGGAAGUCUUGGCUGAGGCGGACAGGGAGAGGAGGAACCCGGCAGCCAACCCACCUUCUGCACCAGGAGGUGCUCUUGUACGUAGGCGGCCACCGCAUCCCAGACGGCAACUCGCUCUGGAGGGCAAAGGAAAAGCGGGUCACACUCUGCACCUGCCGCUUCCCAGCAGCCCUCCCGCUGCCAGGCGGGAGUGAG